GGCUGGAUAGUCUAGUGGUUAAGACAAUUCUAUCAGACCUUAGAUGGCCUAGGUUUAAAUCAUAGUCCUGCUA
Molecule: non-coding RNA, 73 nt
Organism: Suillus fuscotomentosus
Lineage: Eukaryota; Fungi; Basidiomycota; Agaricomycetes; Boletales; Suillaceae
Source: the annotation of a RefSeq genome assembly